UGAAUACGAGACGCUAAGGCGUCGAAGUAGUGUAUGUCAUACUUCCAAGAAAAGCUUGCACUGUCAUAAGUAAAAAAUGCCUGUACCAUAACCGACACAGGUGGGUAGGUAGAGUAUACUAAGGGGCGCGAGAUAACUCUCUCUAAGGAACUCGGCAAAAUAACUCCGUAACUUCGGGAGAAGGAGUACCUUAUUCUAUAAGGUUGCAAUAACAAGAUCCAAGCAACUGUUUAUCAAAAACACAGGUCUCCGCUAAGUCGUAAGACGAUGUAUGGGGGCUGACGCCUGCCCAGUGCCAGAAGGUUAAAGAAGUCGGUUAGCAUUAGCGAAGCUGGUAACUGAAGCCCUGGUGAACGGCGGCCGUAACUAUAACGGUCCUAAGGUAGCGAAAUUCCUUGUCGGGUAAGUUCCGACCCGCACGAAAGGCGUAAUGAUUUGGAUACUGUCUCGGAGAGGGGCUCGGUGAAAUAGACUUGUCUGUGAAGAUGCGGACUGCCUGCACCAGGACAGAAAGACCCUAUGAAGCUUUACUGUAACUUGAAAUUGAAAUUGGACUUUAUUCGCGCAGUAUAGGUGGGAGGUGUUGAUUAUAAUCUUGCGGGAUUAUUGGAGCCAUCAGUGAGAUACCACUCUUGUAAUGUUAGAUUUCUAACUUUGAAUCAUCAUCUGGUCAAAGGACAGUUUCAGGCGGGCAGUUUGACUGGGGCGGUCGCCUCCCAAACGGUAACGGAGGCGUACAAAGGUUUCCUCUGAACGGGUAGAAAUCGUAUCUAGAGUGUAAAGGCAUAAGGAAGCUUGACUGUGAGACCUACAAGUCGAACAGGGACGAAAGUCGGUCUUAGUGAUCUGACGGUACUGAGUGGAAAGGCCGUCACUCAACGGAUAAAAGUUACUCUAGGAUAACAGGCUGAUCUCCCCCAAGAGUUCACAUCGACGGGGAGGUUUGGCACCUCGAUGUCGGCUCAUCGCAUCCUGGGGCGGUAGUACGUCCCAAGGGUUGGGCUGUUCGCCCAUGAAAGCGGUACGCGAGCUGGGUUCAGAACGUCGUGAGACAGUUCGGUCCAUAUCCGGUGUAGGCGUUAGAAUAUUGAGAGGAGCCUUCUUUAGUACGAGAGGACCGAGAAGGACAUACCUCUGGUGUACCAGUUAUCGUGCCAACGGUAAACGCUGGGUAGCUAUGUAUGGAGUGGAUAACCGCUGAAAGCAUCUAAGUGGGAAGCCCACCUCAAGAUAAGUAUUCUCAU
This 1244-nucleotide ribosomal RNA is filed under the name metagenome. RNAcentral's name for it is "bacterial LSU rRNA". It matches the Rfam family "Bacterial large subunit ribosomal RNA", at positions 1564 to 2817 of the family's 2925-position model. The record is from RNAcentral.